GGAUGAUUCUUAGCUUAACGGGAGAGCACCACAAGCGGAGGUCAACGGUUCAAAUCCGUUACCGUCCACAA
Molecule: transfer RNA, 71 nt
Filed under: Bacteroides intestinalis
Lineage: Bacteria; Pseudomonadati; Bacteroidota; Bacteroidia; Bacteroidales; Bacteroidaceae
Description: tRNA-OTHER
Source: RNAcentral